RNAcentral lists this ribosomal RNA (1037 nucleotides) under uncultured bacterium. Its description in RNAcentral is "bacterial SSU rRNA". It matches the Rfam family "Bacterial small subunit ribosomal RNA", at positions 8 to 1037 of the family's 1533-position model. The record is from RNAcentral.
AGAGUUUGAUCAUGGCUCAGAUUGAACGCUGGCGGCAUGCCUUACACAUGCAAGUCGAACGGCAGCACGGGUGCUUGCACCUGGUGGCGAGUGGCGAACGGGUGAGUAAUAUAUCGGAACGUACCUUAUCGUGGGGGAUAACGCAGCGAAAGCUGCGCUAAUACCGCAUACGCCCUGAGGGGGAAAGCGGGGGACCGUAAGGCCUCGCGCGAUUAGAGCGGCCGAUAUCUGAUUAGCUUGUUGGUGGGGUAAAAGCCCACCAAGGCGACGAUCAGUAGCUGGUCUGAGAGGACGAUCAGCCACACUGGGACUGAGACACGGCCCAGACUCCUACGGGAGGCAGCAGUGGGGAAUUUUGGACAAUGGGGGCAACCCUGAUCCAGCAAUGCCGCGUGAGUGAAGAAGGCCUUCGGGUUGUAAAGCUCUUUUGUCAGGGAAGAAACAGCAGCUCUAACACAGUCUGCGAAUGACGGUACCUGAAGAAUAAGCACCGGCUAACUACGUGCCAGCAGCCGCGGUAAUACGUAGGGUGCAAGCGUUAAUCGGAAUUACUGGGCGUAAAGCGUGCGCAGGCGGUUAUACAAGACAGGCGUGAAAUCCCCGGGCUUAACCUGGGAAUGGCGUCUGUGACUGUAUGACUAGAGUGUGUCAGAGGGGGGUAGAAUUCCACGUGUAGCAGUGAAAUGCGUAGAUAUGUGGAGGAAUACCAAUGGCGAAGGCAGCCCCCUGGGAUAACACUGACGCUCAUGCACGAAAGCGUGGGGAGCAAACAGGAUUAGAUACCCUGGUAGUCCACGCCCUAAACGAUGCCGACUAGUUGUUGGGAAUUUACAUUCUCAGUAACGUAGCUAACGCGUGAAGUCGGCCGCCUGGGGAGUACGGUCGCAAGAUUAAAACUCAAAGGAAUUGACGGGGACCCGCACAAGCGGUGGAUGAUGUGGAUUAAUUCGAUGCAACGCGAAAAACCUUACCUACCCUUGACAUGUCACUAACGAAGUAGAGAUACAUUAGGUGCCCGUAAGGGAAAGUGAACACAG